RNAcentral lists this unclassified non-coding RNA (206 nucleotides) under uncultured Chrysozymaceae. RNAcentral's name for it is "sequence contains ITS2". Lineage: Eukaryota; Fungi; Basidiomycota; Microbotryomycetes. The record is from RNAcentral.
ACUCUUCAACCCGCCCUUUUCUUUAUGAUCAGGUGUCGGUGCUUGGAUUCUGAGCUCUUGCUAUUCGUUUAGCUAGCUCGUAAGACAUUAGCAUUUCAAAUUCGUAAUCGGAUUGACUUGGCGUAAUAGACUAUUCGCUGAGGACACUUUUAUAGUGGCCGAGACAAGAAGAGAGAAGCUUCCAACCCCUCUAGUCAAUUUUUAAG